GACGAACGCUGGCGGCGUGCUUAAUACAUGCAAGUCGAACGGAGCUUAGCCAGUAGUUUACUACAGGCGAAAGCUUAGUGGCGGACGGGUGAGUAACGCGUGGGUAAUCUGCCCCUAAGU
RNAcentral lists this ribosomal RNA (120 nucleotides) under uncultured bacterium. Its description in RNAcentral is "partial 16S ribosomal RNA". It matches the Rfam family "Bacterial small subunit ribosomal RNA", at positions 28 to 137 of the family's 1533-position model. The record is from RNAcentral.